UUUUUUUUUUUUAUGCAAAGAUCUUGAAUGAUAACUUGAAAAUCGGUCACAAGUCAUGGGCUGUCUGUGGGAGAAGCCAGCCCCAAAGAAAACCAUAAGAAAAUCAGGUGGGAGUCCUUUCUUCUGUGGGUAAUAUCCCUGGGCUUGAAGACUGCUAGGGAAGCAAAAUAGCUCCUGUUAGCCACCAGAGUCUAUUUUGUGUCUGAGAGAGGAGAAGGUCCUGGACUGACAGCCUCUUUUAUAUUCAGCACUCAUCUGGCCAACACCAUCACUCACUGUGAGCAGCUCUUACCUCUCACUUUUGGCAAAAAUUACUCAUUUAAGUCAAAAAGAAAAGUGCAGAGAGCCUCACACACGCAGGGAAGAUUUCCUCUAGGCUCUUAGCUCAGCACAGAACAACUGCCCAGAGCUGAGUGGUAUCUGUACUUCAGGAAAAAUACACAAUAUCUUGGGUACUGCUGGGCUUGAUGCCCAUCUCCACCUUUUUUUAGCAUAAUGUCACUGAGGAGUUCACAGUGCAGCAGAGUGUUCUGAAAUGUAGGCUGGAAAAUUGCACUUCUUGUUGCAUAUUUUGGGUUUUGCUGGAUAGGUGAACAGCUGGUUGCUUUUGAUAUGGAUUUGGACGAGUCUUUUUGAAAGCUUUAGCUGAAUCUAAGCAUUCACAGCUAUGUAAUUAUGGAGGUGACCAAGGAAUCAAACUCCACAGGUACAGAGUUCUUAAUUUUUUUCUGGUUUAGUAGCUUUUGUCCAUCUUCAAAAUCAGAAAUCUGUAAAUGUAGCAACCAACACAAGUUUCUGGUCAGAAAAUCUCUUGUUGUCAAGUGGACCUCAGCUGUCCGAGCUGUGGUGAAGUCUGGGUUUGCCAUCCCAAAAUCACACUUUUGGUUCUACUCCCUUUCAGCCAGCUUUAAUAAAUUUGCCCAAACUCUGUCUUCUGAAAUUUGUCUAUGGUAUUGUACUGCAACCCUGUGCUGCCCAGCAAAAACAUUUCCUGAGCCUUCUUAUGGCAUUUGGGACUGGAAAUUUCAAACUGAACAAACUGCUUGUGCUUGGACAGCAAAGCUUAAAUUCAAAUCACUUUUGAAGUCCUUUCUCCAAGUGCUUGGUGCCUUCUCAUGUUGGCUACAUGGAGAAAAGUGGGUUCCUGCAGAGGUAUAGUUCUAAACCCAGAGAUCUCGUCUACAGCCAUACUGAGGGCUUGCUGUAAUGACAUUCAACUAGAUUCUGUAUUAAACCACUGAAAAGCUGACAUUUGAACAUCUGCUAUUGCUAAGUAAAUAUUAUUAAUGAAUAAGUAGUUCCUCAAAGGCUUGUCAGUGCUUAUUCUCUGUACUUUUAUCAAACUUCUGUAUAUUUUUUUUCCUUUCUUUCUUCCUAUGAGAGGAAAAUAUCUUCCUUCCCUGAACGGUGGGUAAGAGAAAAGCUCUGAGGAAUCGCAUUAAUAACCUUGCUCUCUGCAUUGAAUGGACAAGAACUUCUCUGUGGUUCACAGUUUUCCCAAGAUAAUUUUCUGUUUGUUUUCCACAGUGCUAUCUAGUGAAUAAACAUGACUGUUCCCCACUUCCCCUCUCUCACAGCUCGCUGUAGGUGACCAGUCAGCCAGUUGCUGCCAGAUUAAUGACAGAAAACAGAUUUUAUUGUCCAAGUCAUCUGUGAAUGAUGGGACUCUCUGUUAAUUCCCAUGAAAGCUAACUAAUCUUCCAAUUGAAAUACUGCUUUUACAAUCCAGGCUGUCAUGGGGAGCAGAUUUUCUUUUUUUUUUUUUUUAAGAGCAAAAUAAACCACACACAGAAUCUUUUUAUUGAUGCGGGAAGGAGGGGGAAGGGCAGUUUCACCUCUUUUCUUGAUUUCUAUUCCACUGAGGACACUUAUAUUUGAUUGGAAAUGCAAAAGCCCAGGGUAAGCUAUUCUUUGCAUGGCCACAUGGAAGUCUCUGCUUUCUCCUUGUCAUCUUCAGCAACAGCAAAUGUAAAACUUACAGAGGUGGUAUGUUUUCUUAGUGAGAGACUGUGCAAAACUUACUCAAAUGUUGGACUCAAAGUUGGAACUAAGUGUUAUAUCAUUGGCAAAAAGUAUUACAAAAUAAUCUGUAAAAAUUUCUAAAAUAUUACUAAGCCAUCAAUCCAGUGACCUGCUACUAUUUAUCUUUAUAUUAUGUAUUACUUUUGUGGGAUGAAAUUCUAGAUAACUAUGUAUACAAAAAUAUACCUUUUGGAAUAUUACUCUGUUUCAAGAGUGAAUGUUUGAAAGAAAGAAAGUGCUGGCACACCAUUAAUGCAACUCAGACUUACAGGAAAUACAAUAUGUUUAUAUCCUUAUUUUUUUUCUAUAUUGUCAUCUUUAGGCAUUUUGUUUUAAUUUAAGGCAAAGAAAAUCAUAAUUUCCAACAGGUGUGGGAGGGGAUUUCAGGAAAUCUGGUGGAAUUAUUAGCCUUUUUUUUUUAAGCAUUUUUUUUUGAGAAGCAAAAAUCUUUUAUCAGUCACAGUGGAGUUUAUUUGUCUUCCAUGAGAAUAGUUCUAGCCACAAGGCUAUAAUGGAGUCCAGCUGUUUUCUCUGAAUCCAUCCAUCAGCAGCACAAGAAGGUGAAGAAGGCAAAUGGUGACUGCCUGAGAGGAGAAAGAGGGCAGCAGGGUGAGGCAUGGCUGCUUACCAUGGAGGAUCAGGAUCAGGAGCAGAGAAAUAUGGCACCUAGAGAUGAUCAAGGUCAAGCUCAGCAGAAGGCUCAGGUUACAACUUGAUGAUCCAAACCCAGCUCAGUUGUGGCUACAAUUUGUUGCUGCAAGACAAUACUGGCAGAAGAACAAAUGGAUCCCAUCAAUAAAUUCAGGCUGAUAAUUAGAAGAGACUUUUUACCCAUCUGGAAAAGAAGGCAGACUGCAGAAGGUUGUGGAACAGCCUUCAGAAGAAUAAUGGAAUAGAAUGGUUGAACUUUUUGAAGAUGAAGCUUGACAAUUUCUGCAUUAAAUUUUUCAGGAUAACCAUCUGCAACAAUGGGGGUGGGGGUAAAAUAAAAAAAUUUCUGCUGUGGUGUUCAUCCCUUUGUGCAAUAGGAAGGAAUGAGAUGCUGGUCCAUAAGGAUGAACAUCUGUGUUAUGGGGAAUGUGGAGGCCAGGAACAGGAUGGACAUGGAUCACUUCUCUCCACUAAGCACAGAUGAGCAGUUUCCCAUCCCAGGCCUGCUUUGCUGCAGUUGCAAGGAAUUUUCAUUGACAUCAGUGAAACAAGAAGACAUAAGCCAAGGAGUGGCUUCUAAGGGUGCCUAAAUUUAAAGCCGAUUUUGAAAGUCCUUUCUAAUGCUUAUACUGGAACUCCUAGAUGAAAAUGGCAAUUGGAUUAACAGAGUUAACAGGAGUCUCUUUAGUCUCCCCUUCCACAGAGGAAGGCUAUAUUUCCCAAAAUGAGGUCUGGUAGACUGGGGGGCUGUACUGGGUUGAGGGAAGUUGAAAUAGUUGGCAUUUGCUAUUCUGCCCCAAAAUGUACUCAUUGCCUAUUGGUUUUACUGCACAGUUCCUUCCUCAAAAUAGAUUUCAAAAGAGGGCAGGCAACUUCAUGGCAACUCAAUCCACUGACAGCUGCUGUUCAUUGCCCUGAAUACAACUUUUGGCUCAGGAACACUUAAGCUGAUGAUUAGGAAAAGUUAGAGGACGGGUAAGGCGUGAAUACGCUCACUAGCCGUGUACUGUAAUGCCUCUAAAGAUUCACUACUACCACUUAUCAGAACUGGGGCUCUAAAAUUGGUAGUCUACUCACUAUGAAGCCCCUAUGUUUGUUCCCGCUCUUCAAAUACAUUUUUCUCUCUGGGUUUUUUUUUGUUCCAAAAGAAAUAGAUUUGAAGAGUUUUGAAAAGUCAGUGUAUUUCAUUUUCAAAACCACAGUUUGUAUUACCAAGAGCCAUAAAGGAAUAUAGAUGAUUAUUCCUUUAAGGUGAAAAAAAACUCCUCAGGAGCUUUUGCAGGAAACUUCUCAAGAAAAGAAAUCCAAUGGAAAAAUCUAUUAAUAUUUUUUGUUGUUUAUACAAUUCAUUUAUUCCAUGGAAUACAUUGAGUUGCUAGGAGUUUAUGAUGUGAACUCUUCUUGUAAUUUUGCCAUAUAAAAUGGAGCAGUCCACCAUAAUCUUAGUUAUGCUAGUUCAACUAGGUAAUAAAUUCUCACUGAUUUUAUCACAUACUGUAAAUCUGAAUCUUUUAUUUGCCUAACAAUCUUGAUUAUUGACUAUCAUUAGAUCACUAAGUGUACUUAAAAUAUUGUGGCUAGUACCAUUUCUAUGAUAUUUUUAACAAUAGUGAAAUGUUACUGAAUCAGUUACUCUCUUGAACUCCUGCAUAUCACAGACUAUUACUUUUAACUAGGACUUCAAAAAGCUUGUUGUAGGCCAGAAUGUUUUUGUUCCUUUUCCCCUUCCUGACUGCUUGAAGCUCCUUAGGUGAUAGGAAACAAUGUAAUAUUUGUUCACACCCUUAAACCAUUAUUUGCUUCUACUUUCAGCUACUUUCUAGAAUGAUUUCCUAAAUAUAUAUUGCCUUUCCAAGUGAAGAGAUAUAUUUAAACUGAUUCAUUCAUUUGAAGGGGAUGCUUUUUUUGUAAAGAAAUAUCUUUACGUGGAAAAUUGUAGUGUGGGACUAAAUGUUUUUCUUUACAGCAGCAUAAACUUGGAGGGGCAAACCCUGAGAGCAGUCAUUUGUUUUCUCUGGGUUAAUGGCUUUCAGCUGGAUGUCUGUCUGCUGAAUAAUGACUGUACUGCUACAUCAACCAGUCUCUUCCACUGCAAAACAUGUGUUCGAUUAAUGGCAUUGACAUAUUGUAAGCUGGAAUGAGCCUCCCCACUUGAGUUGUUCAAACAUGAUACAUCCUACUAGAAUGAAAUUAAAUAAGGAGACGUGACAAAAGAGGAGGAUUCAAGGAAGAUGAUAUUGUGUUCUGAAAGUGCAGCAUCAAAGACACUUUGGUUUUUGACAUCACUUGUGCUGCUCAUUAUUUAAUCAUUCCCAUCCUGAGUAUUUAUUUUCUAAAGGGAAAAAUUGUUUUUCAUAUUUCAAGUCCUAUGGUUUUGAUCUUUAGUAUAUGGUUGUACUCCUGAGUGAUGUGGAAAAAAAAUAAACAGUAGAAACCUUGAAGCACUCUCUAGAAAUGCUGAGAGCAAAAUUUGAAAAGUACUCAAGCAGCGCAUAAAAUGUCACGUCCCUUUCCCAUUUAGUCAUUAGGAUUAAGUUAUCCAAGUCACAGAGACAAUCAUAGAAAAUAUCCUGGGUUUUAUCUUGUAGGUAUCACACAUGGGUGUAAAAUAAGCACCCUGGCUGUACCAUAACGUACACAGGUUUAUGAAAUAUCUUUGAUUUUUUUGUGAUUGCAGGUGGGAAAAUGCAUUGUAAGCAACUAAAAAGGAAACAAAUCGCCUAUAACAAUUCAAGGAUUGAGCUGAAUAGUUAUUGAUUUGAUUUUGCCUUUCACCUGCAUGAGGGAAGCUGAUUAUACUUUGAAGACUGAAACUGGUUUGUUUUGAUGUGAUAGAUUUCCAUUUAUCCAGGCUAGCUUUUCUAGGUCCUGUUUGUUGCUUUCCCAUCUGGCAGCCUCCUAGGUGGGCAGAGGUGCUCCAGGUGAUGUGAGCAGGGGCACUAAGUGGGAAUUGGUGAGGUCCCAUAUGAAAGUUCACUGGCCUCCCAGAACUGCAUUCCAGAAAUGACAAAAGCCAUCCAUCUUGUGGGUGCAGACCCUUUGGAUUUGCUGACAGUAAUAAUUCCACCCCUAACUCUCAAGUAACGCAUUAGCAUUAACAGUAAUUUUUGCCUCUAGACAGGCUCUGCAGUACAGCAUGACAGUUCCUACCCUGUAAUUGUAGGAUCCUCAUUAAUCAGAAAGAAUAUUAUGACAUUGUGAGCUCACAAGAAAGACAAUUGAUGACUGACAUAAUAAAGGCCUAAAUUAUGCUGCUUUGAUGAUUGGAGGUGCAAAUUUUUUUUUUCUCUUGUGAAAAUAGGAUUUAGCAGCUGUAUGAAAAAAUCUGUAUGAAAAAAAUCUGUAUAAUGAAAGUAGGAAGCAUUGAGCAGCAAGCAACACCAGCUUUAUCUAGAUGAGACCUUUAUUUCAAAAGGAAAUUAAAAUUUCAAAGCUGGUAGUGUUUUUUUAAGUGAUAAACCAGAAUUUAAAUCAGGAUCUCGAGGAAAAACUAUGUGAGAAGCUCCCUGCUGCAGCACUGUAUUUAGUAUUUUGCUGCUAUUACCCUUUAAAAUUAUAGAAAUUUAUAUAUUGUUUUGGCCAGCUUCCAAAAUGUAUUUUGACAUAUAUGAAAUGACUAAUACUGAAACACAUCUCAUAAAUUUAAUGCAAUUAUAUAUAGACCUAUAUUCAUUAGGAGCCAAAGACUGUAAAUUAUAAAUUAAGAAAAACAAAAAAAAGAAAAACUCUUAAAUCACACUUUCUUCUUCCACUGAAGGUAUGUGGAUGAAUACAUUCAGUUCCUAGAGUCAACCUGAAGGCUCUUUCAAUUAGCACUGCUUUGUGUGAAAGCAAUCCAAUGGGAACCCAGCAUCCCUUAAAGACAGAGGACUGGAGACUGGAGCGGUGUUGAGGAGGUGGUGGGCCCCAGAGGAGGGCCUUGUGUGUGGCUGUAUGUGAUGGGCUGAGCGUGUUCUGAAGUACUGUGAUUAACUGGGAAAUUCAUCAAAAUUGUGUUUUUUCUUCAGGGAUUCCUUUCUCCAGAACAAGCUGACUGCAAUAUUCAUGAUCUAAGUAAACAAUAACUUAGACAAGCAUUUAAGAUUCUGGGAGAGCCCCCAAAAGUCCCUCCUGAGCUGGGCUUCUCUCAUGCACUGGACUUAAAUUAUUUACUCCAGACCCAUGUCUAUCCAUAGGUAUUUACAUACGUUUUUAAGUAUAGCCACGACUCAGACAGAUUUCUUCUGGGUGCAGUACACUUACUCCCUCUUUUUUGGAAAAAAAAUGAUAGUUGAGGAGAAACAAGGGAAAAAUUCUUUCUGAGAAUUACCCCAUUUUUUCCCCAGAUUAAAUAUUCUGCAUGCUGCUCCCUUGACCAUUGUUUUUGUUUGCUUGAGAUUGUGACAUGUAGAACAGUCAAAAUUAGCCACUGAGCAUAACUGAUGACGAAAAUAGCAAUUUUAGUUAAAAAACAUUUCCUGAAAUAUUUUUUUGGUGGUCAUAAACCAAUGAUUUAAAACAAGUGCGUAUACAGUUUCUUUCAGGAAUGACUUCAGGAUAGUUCAUGAAAUUCUUGUUUUCUUCAUAGCUCAUCCCAUGGCUUAAUGAUUCUGUGCACGCUUGGCACUACCUAUGAUGCAAUAUGAGGAGAUAACAAAAAAUUUCAAUUUUCUUUAAAUUUAAGACUAGCCUGGGAUUCAGGGAUGAAUGCACAGUGGCAUUUUGUCUUCCUAUGACACAGAGGAGUGAUUAAAUAGGAACAGCUUAGCAGUGCCAGAGCAAGUUGGAGGUGUCCACUUUAGGAGCUGCUGGCUUUGCCCUGACUCUGCUUUUGAAGCCAAUCUCCCAGCUGCCCACCUCGCUGGGCUGGGUUUGCAGGGCGAGCAGCCCCAGAGGGUGCAGACUGACCCUUCCCACAAGCUUCACCCAGAAGCUCAGCUUCCUAUACUCAGGGGCCAGAAUGGUGUUAAAUUGACCUAAACUUCUCCUAAAAUUCAUGCAGUGCGUUUGUCAGGUUUUGAGCAUCAGAGAUUUUGGACUGUAAAUCUAUUCCCGUGGGGAUGUGCAGCUUGUAUCAAAGAUACAAUAUACUAUUUACAAAGAUAUUGCCUUUCCACUGAAAUCCAGCGACAUGUAGCAGUAUAUCAAAUCCUGCUGGGUGUCUUUGUAAAUACCAUUAAGAAAAUGUACUCAAUAUAUGAAUUUUUUUUUCCUAUACAACUGUAAUUUAUUUAUAUCUCAAAUUCUUGCAGUUGCAUUUUUGCUGCCUUCAGGACUGUACCAUCUGGAGUGAUCUUCAGUCUCAGCCGUUUAUUUAGCUCAAACAUUCGUUUGUUCUUGGGUGAGCGCUCCAGAAGUGCACAGCACUUGGGCUGUGGGACUUCUGUGCCUGUGUCAAUGAUCACAUACAGAUGGUAUGAAAACACAGGGAUCCAGCUGGUUCCCAUGGUAUCAAGACAAAAUUACAUGGAGUGGAGAAUUCCUUCUGAGAGACUAAAAACAUGAAGAUGUUUCUUUCAGUAUCAGUCACAGAUUUUUUUGUUAUAUUUCGCUUAUCCUAGAUAUUAAUGAAUCAGACUCUUGUGAGAGGCAGCCACUGUUGCUUUUUACAGUCCUUCUUGGAGGGAACUGCCAUGUUUCAUCACACUGACCUGGGGUCAAAGAAACAUAGGACAAAAAAAUGUUCAUACCUUAAAGAAUCUCAUGGCAAAGGCCUCAUAUUCAAAACUUUAUCUAGAAAGGUGGAUUUAAUGAAACAGUGAAAUCUAUUUGGAAGUUAUCAUUAAAAUCACAACAUAUUUUUAUUGAAUUUAUUGAAGUUUGAAAGAUACUUAAAAUUAAGUAUGCAUAUAUAUUUUAAAUAAUUAAAUCUCCAAUAUGAAAAAUUGUUUCUUUCAUUGAAAAUGAUGAAUUUUUCUUGUUGCUCAGCUGUGCAGACUUGCAUAAUGUCACUAAAAUAGCCCAAAUGAAAACUUACAAUGAUGCAGUUGUGUUGUUUUUUUUUUUUUUUUUUUAAUCUGUUAGUGGAAAUUGAUGUCCUCUGAUCUCUUUAAAUAUAUUGUAUGCUGUUUAAUGACCGGUAUUACAGAUGUCAGAGAGAGAUUCACCAAAAUGCUAAAAAUCAUACAAAGAGUGUAAGAAUUCAAGCAGGAAUUUUUCAUUUUGGUUGGUGGUAUCUGCAGCUGUACACAUCUGAUCUUCCUACUUGUCCUUACAAACACUGAAGUUAAAGCUAUAUUGCUAAAACAUGGAUUUAAAAUAUAAUUUUGUUUUUAGGGAUUGUACUUCUACAUGAUCAUGCUUUAGUAAUAUUAUUAUUUCAUUUUAUUCAAAUAUUGUGAUGUAUAAUGUUAAUUAAUUAAAUUAUAUUGUGUACAAUAAACAUACUAACAAUAAUAAUAUGCUUAAAAUAAUAGCUACUACAACAAAAAGAGAGAUAAAAGUAACAAUAAAAAAACCACCAGAAAGACUGCCCAACAGUUUUUCUCAGCAGCCAGACAAGUUCUCUUCUUCUAGGUCUUAUCAGCAGUAAAGAGAAUUUAAUGAAAACUUUUGCAGACUUACUGGUUGCAGGGAAGAAAUUUCUUCUAUUAUACACUGAAGAAUGAAAUCCAUUAAAUCUCUUUUAACUCCUGACUGCUCAGCAGCUUGGAUGGGUUGAAGAUUUCAAUCUACAUACACAGUACAGGUACUGUUCUUGGUUUCAUUAAAUGUUUCUUAUUUUCAAAAGACUCUGUCUACCUUGCCCAAAAUUUAAAAUUGGCUUUAUGAAAACCACUGUCCUGACAGAUAUGCAUCUGACAGGAAAGGGCAUCAUUUAAUAAUAAUUUCCAGUUAGGUAAGUCUAGAAAUACUAAUGGAGGUAAUUACUUGCCAAUUGCCCUUAUUAAAGCUUUAGUAUAUCAGUCUCCAUAAUUAGCCUCUCUGGAUGAGGACAGCAUCUGGCUCUUCAAAUCUCUUUCCAAGAAAGGCACUGAGGUAGAAGUCCAGGUUUCUUCAGACUCAUUAUUUUAUGCUGAACAUACACAUUUUUGAAAUCAUAGUAGGGCAAGUUUUUUCCUUGUUGUUUUACAGUUUUUCAGGUUUGUAUGGAUCUCCUGAUAAUUUAACUAGGAUAUAUUAGAUACCCUAGCCUAUUCUUACUUUCUUUUUUUUGUCCUAGUUCUUCCUUGUUCCCUGUCAUAGUAGGUUUUAUGACACAGAUCCCAAUUACAGCUAAUCGUAUUAAAAGCUCCAGUUAUUUGAAAACAUGUUAAUAGGCAAGGACUUAAAAAUAUAGAGAGUCCUAUCAGAACUCUGUGAAGUCCUUGCAGAGAUUUUUUUCUCAUUGGUCUAUCAUUUAAAAAAGAGAUCUAAUUCAAGAGCUUUUUGGAUAAUUCAAGCAAAAGAGCAGAUAAGUUUUUGGAAAUUUUUUUUUUUUUUUGAGCUCUAUGGAGGCCAAUAUCUGGCAACAGCAACUGGACAGAUGGGUCAAGCUUAACUGGCUUGUUCAUCACACUAAAGCAAUACAGAAAUAUUCAAACACUUCUCCUUUCAGCACGAGAAAGGGUUCCUAUAUUUUUACAACUCAGCAGAUUUGUGCAGUUUGUUUGCAAAUCCAGACUCCUCCAUUGUGUAUUUUAUCUUUCCACAGCAUAGCUAAGGACAAGAAAAUUAUCAAAUUUCUUGUCCUUAGCAAUGGCAGAAUUGGCAGUUAAUUUAGCACAAAACAUUGCAAUACAGAACUCGUUUGCAGAAACCUGCCUUAGAAGCACUGUGGGACAAUCACUGCCUUUUAGCCACAUAAUUACUGCUCCAGAAGCUUUAUCAUCUUGUUAAUAAUUUCUAUUGUCCUUCUAUUGGAAAUAUAUAUUUUUUGACAUGAAAAAUGUAUUUUAUGAAAUUUCAUAAUGGAGAUGGCACUUCUUCAUGUAAUAAAAGGUUUGGUAAUAUCAGGUCUUGCUGAAAUAGCUAAUUGUGUUGCAUUAUCAUAUUACAUUAACAGCACUUGGGAAUUUAAAUAAAGAACUCUUGUCCGUACAGCAGUGGCUUUUAUUCAGAAUUAGCAUGGUGUCAGCUGGAAUGCAUCUAAAUAGUUGAGCAUAAGUAAUUUUAUCAUCUUUUCUUUUUUUCUCUCCCCCUUCUCUGAUAUGACCUGGGUAGUGUCAUGAAAGAAUGGAUCCGAGAUCUGUCCGUCUGCUGCAGUUUGGAAAAGGAGUAAGAUAGAAGUGUUUUUCCAUAUUUUCAAUUUAAGUUCUACUUCCAGAUUGCCAAUCUGAAAGCACAUGACAUUUACUGAUGUAGUCUUAUCUAAAAGGUAAAAUUUAAAUGAACUGCUCCCAAAUUGUGUUUCUUUCUUUCAUGCCAUAUUCUAAAUGUAAAGUGUUGUAGAUUAGAAAUGUUUUGCAUAAACCACCCCCUCCCCCCACUUUCCUCCCCAGUUCUUUAAAACGUAAAUCCAUUUUGGGACAAUGAUACAGAAACAAAAAUCUUAGAUAAUGACAUCCAAGCUCAGUGAUAGGGAUAAAAAUAUAGUCAUUUUGAAGUUCUGAAACUCAUAAAAUUGCCACAUCUAGUUUAUUCUGCAUUCCCCAGAGCAUUAAGCAGUUUAGCAAAAAUCUAAUUUCCCACCAAAGAGCUCAAGGCAGUUAGUGCUCAGUUUGGUUCCAAAGAAUUAAACACACUGUUAUAAAUUGUGAUAGUCUGUGUAACUCUGUAGAUAAACCCAUUUUCCAGUAUAAGUGUACCAAGCAUGAAAAAAUAAGAGGCUGCUUUUGUAUGAGGGGUGAUUACAAUGGAAAUAAAGGUGAAA
Molecule: non-coding RNA, 11443 nt
Organism: Taeniopygia guttata (zebra finch)
Lineage: Eukaryota; Metazoa; Chordata; Aves; Passeriformes; Estrildidae
Source: RefSeq, a predicted model, not a curated record